AGUGAACGCUGGCGGUAGGCCUAACACAUGCAAGUCGAACGGCAGCACAGUAAGAGCUUGCUCUUACGGGUGGCGAGUGGCGGACGGGUGAGGAAUACAUCGGAAUCUACUUUUUCGUGGGGGAUAACGUAGGGAAACUUACGCUAAUACCGCAUACGACCUACGGGUGAAAGCAGGGGAUCUUCGGACCUUGCGCGAUUGAAUGAGCCGAUGUCGGAUUAGCUAGUUGGCGGGGUAAAGGCCCACCAAGGCGACGAUCCGUAGCUGGUCUGAGAGGAUGAUCAGCCACACUGGAACUGGGGCACGGUCCAGGCUCCUAAGGGAGGCAGCAGUGGGGAAUAUUGGACAAUGGGCGCAAGCCUGAUCCAGCCAUACCGCGGGGGUUAAGAAGGCCUUCGGGUUGUAAAGCCCUUUUGUUGGGAAAGAAAAGCAGCAGGUUAAUACCCCGCUGUUCUGACGGUACCCAAAGAAUAAGCACCGGCUAACUUCGUG
This 492-nucleotide ribosomal RNA is filed under the name uncultured bacterium. Its description in RNAcentral is "partial 16S ribosomal RNA". It matches the Rfam family "Bacterial small subunit ribosomal RNA", at positions 29 to 507 of the family's 1533-position model. The record is from RNAcentral.